Molecule: non-coding RNA, 204 nt
Organism: Pelobates cultripes (western spadefoot toad)
Lineage: Eukaryota; Metazoa; Chordata; Amphibia; Anura; Pelobatidae
Source: the annotation of a GenBank genome assembly
CUGACAUACACAGACACACUGACACACACACACAGGCAUAUUGACAUACACAAACACACACAGACAUACUGACACACACACUACAUUUAGCCACUCUCCAGGUUCUUACCUUUUCUGGAGGGUGGUUUCCCUGGGGUCCAGUGGCAGGCUGUGGCAGUUGGGAGUUAUCUUCUAGAACUCCCCUCCUCCCUGCCUUCCUCCUAC